CAACACUCAAGCCUAGCUUGGUAUUGAGCCACGUCCGCAAGGGCCGGCUUUAAAAUCAGUGGCGGCGCCAUCUGGCUCUCAGCGUAGUAAUACUCCUCGCUGUUGGGCCCUGGUGGAUGCUGGCCAGCAACCCCCAACUUUCUAA
This 145-nucleotide unclassified non-coding RNA is filed under the name uncultured Infundichalara. Its description in RNAcentral is "partial internal transcribed spacer 2". The record is from RNAcentral. Lineage: Eukaryota; Fungi; Ascomycota; Leotiomycetes; Helotiales.